GGCCCUGUAAGUACCUUGUGAAAUACCACCGCUCAACCGGCUGGAACUGGCAGGGUAUACUGCAGGCAAUGAGGCCGGUAGAGGUUGCCGGAACUGUAGGUGUACCGGUGAAAUGCGUAGAUAUCUACAGGAACACCAAAGACGAAGGUAGGCAACUGGGCCGGUUCUGACGCUCAGGCACGAAAGCGUGGGGAGCAAACAGGAUUAGAUACCCUGGUAGUCCACGCCGUAAACGAUGUGCACUAGAUUCGAGAGGCUCUGACGCCAUUCGGGUCGAAGCAAAAGUGUUAAGUGCACCGCCUGGGGAGUACGGUCGCAAGGCUAAAACUCAAAGGAAUCGACGGGGGCUCACACAAGCGGUGGAGCAUGUGGCUUAAUUCGAAGCAACGCGAAGAACCUUAUCCUGGGUUUGACAUGCACGGAUACCCUCGCCGAAAGGCGAGUAAGUUGCCCAUUCGGGUGAAACGUGCACAGGUGCUGCAUGGCUGUCGUCAGCUCGUGCUGUGAAGUGUUGGGUUAAGUCCCUUAACGAGCGAAACCCCUGUCGCUAGUUGCUAACAGGUCUCCGGACGCUGAGGACUCUAGCGAGACUGCCGGUGUCAAACCGGAGGAAGGCGGGGAUGACGUCAAGUCCUCAUGGCCUUUAUGCCCAGGGCUGCACACGUGCUACAAUGGCGUGAACAGAGCGACGCAAUACCGUAAGGUGGAGCAAAUCGCAAAAAUCACGCCCCAGUUCGGAUCGAGGUCUGCAACUCGACCUCGUGAAGGUGGAAUCGCUAGUAAUCGCGCAUCAGCAAUGGCGCAGUGAAUACGUUCAUGAGCAUUGUACACACCGCCCGUCAAGUCAUGAAGCCGGGAGUGCCCGAAUCGCACCGUUUCAG
RNAcentral lists this ribosomal RNA (881 nucleotides) under uncultured organism. RNAcentral's name for it is "bacterial SSU rRNA". It matches the Rfam family "Bacterial small subunit ribosomal RNA", at positions 577 to 1439 of the family's 1533-position model. The record is from RNAcentral.